This 503-nucleotide ribosomal RNA is filed under the name uncultured bacterium. RNAcentral describes it as "bacterial SSU rRNA". It matches the Rfam family "Bacterial small subunit ribosomal RNA", at positions 25 to 518 of the family's 1533-position model. The record is from RNAcentral.
CAGGAUGAACGCUAGCUACAGGCUUAACACAUGCAAGUCGAGGGGCAGCAUUGGGAUAGCUUGCUAUUCAGAUGGCGACCGGCGCACGGGUGAGUAACGCGUAUCCAACCUUCCUGCAGUAGGGAACAGCCCGGCGAAAGUCGGAUUAAUGCCCUAUGUUCUUCAAUGCGGACAUCUAAGUUGAAGGAAAGAUUCAUCGCUGGCAGAUGGGGAUGCGUCCGAUUAGCUUGCCGGCGGGGUAACGGCCCACCGGGGCGACGAUCGGUAGGGGUUCUGAGAGGAAGGUCCCCCACACUGGUACUGAGACACGGACCAGACUCCUACGGGAGGCAGCAGUGAGGAAUAUUGGUCAAUGGGCGUAAGCCUGAACCAGCCAAGUAGCGUGCAGGAAUGACGGCCCUACGGGUUGUAAACUGCUUUUAUGCGGGGAUAAAGUGCGGCACGUGUGCCGCUUUGCAGGUACCGCAUGAAUAAGGACCGGCUAAUUCCGUGCCAGCAGCUGC